CUGGCGGAAUGCUUUACACAUGCAAGUCGAACGGCAGCACGGGGGCAACCCUGGUGGCGAGUGGCGAACGGGUGAGUAAUACAUCGGAACGUGCCCAGUCGUGGGGGAUAACUACGCGAAAGCGUAGCUAAUACCGCAUACGAUCCAAGGAUGAAAGCGGGGGACCGUAAGGCCUCGCGCGAUUGGAGCGGCCGAUGGCAGAUUAGGUAGUUGGUGAGGUA
Molecule: ribosomal RNA, 221 nt
Filed under: Chloropicon mariensis
Lineage: Eukaryota; Viridiplantae; Chlorophyta; Chloropicophyceae; Chloropicales; Chloropicaceae
Description: partial Bacterial small subunit ribosomal RNA
Rfam family: Bacterial small subunit ribosomal RNA
Source: RNAcentral